UACGUAGGGUGCGAGCGUUAAUCGGAUUUACUGGGCGUAAAGCGUGCGUAGGCGGUCCCGCAAGUCCGAUGUGAAAUCCCCGGGCUUAACCUGGGAACUGCAUUGGUGACUGGCGGGCUAGAGUAUGGCAGAGGGGGGUAGAAUUCCACGUGUAGCAGUGAAAUGCGUAGAGAUGUGGAGGAAUACCGAUGGCGAAGGCAGCCCCCUGGGCCAAUACUGACGCUCAUGCACGAAAGCGUGGGGAGCAAACAGG
This 253-nucleotide ribosomal RNA is filed under the name uncultured bacterium. RNAcentral's name for it is "partial 16S ribosomal RNA". It matches the Rfam family "Bacterial small subunit ribosomal RNA", at positions 524 to 776 of the family's 1533-position model. The record is from RNAcentral.